This is a long non-coding RNA of Gasterosteus aculeatus aculeatus (three-spined stickleback), 4916 nucleotides long. Lineage: Eukaryota; Metazoa; Chordata; Actinopteri; Perciformes; Gasterosteidae. The record is from Ensembl.
CUGCAAUCGGAUCCCGGUGUUUUUGGCGUCCGCGUACGGUUUCGGUGCGGUGCCGCUCUUAGGAUGCUGCCUUAUAUAACACAGUCAGCUGAGAGGCGAACGCGUUGCGGGGACUAGAAUGAGAGCAACAGCUGGGCUAAGGCGGACGCCAGCUGAGCUAACGGAUGGUAACCCCGACAACGAUAACUAUAACGACUCCGCCCGUCCAGGACAGUCAUCAGAUCCAGUUACCAUGGAGAGCAGUUCAUCUCCACCGGCAACACACACGGAUAGUGAAAACUCGGGGCAAAGCCUUUGGGGCGACCAGGAAGCGGAGGAGCACCAUUACACAGAGGUCCAUGGGCUGAAGCAGCCAAUCGGGGACGAGCAGGACGAAGAAGAGGCUGCAGGGAAAGAAAAUGUCGUCAGGGAUGCAGAUGAGUGUGAUUACCUUGUGUUUGCAAUCGGAGAGCGAAAUGGGAAUGAUAAAGGAGAUGAAAGUGGACAGGACACGGGUAGAGGAGGAGAUAAGGUAGAAGAUGGAGAAAGAGGGGAAACAGAAGGAAAGGAAGAAGGAAGUGGAGCUACAGUGAGGGAAGAUGGAGGAAGAGGAGGUGAAAAAGAAGAGGAUGAAUGCAUAGGAGAGACAGUGGGCGAGAUGAGUAAUGAUGCUCCGUCAAAGCUCCUCCUCAUCUCUUGCAGCCCGGAGCGUCUUUCAUCAUCAGAGCCCCUGAUGGUCCCCUCAUGUCCCUCAGAGCAGCCCAUGGAGGCCAUGUUGCAAGAGGCCUUAGGUCACAACAUUGGCGAAAGAGAUGACCUCAGUGACGUCCAGCACACAGGCUUCCCCCAAGCUGAGGUGGCUAGUGUGUACUCGGACAGCGACGCAGGGGACGGCCAGUGGGCUAGCUUUGCACGCUGUGAUGUCACCAACCAGGAAGAAGCAGGCGGAGGAAUUCACAAUACCACCUGUGAAGGAGAGAGCAAGGAAGAGGAGGGAGGAGGAGCCGAUAAGGGGAGAGCCGAAGAACAGUUUGAGGCAGAAGAAGCGAGUGAAACACAGGACCAAAGGGAGGAGGAGGAGGAGGAGGAGGAGGGGAGCAGACACGUGGAUGAUGAAGAGCAGAUGACGUCCAGGAGAGAUCUAUUUCCACGCACACCUUCUGUCAGCUCCACGGGCAGCUCCACAGAGCCUGACAGAAAGGCUCCCGUGGAUCUCUGUGUCCAAGAAGAGGCCCACAGUGGAAACGUCUCCACUGAGCAUGUGGACUUUCUGUUGGCCCGACAGCAGUGGAGGAAGAUGGAGGAGGAGGUCAAAGGUCAGCCAAUCCCCAAACCAGGCCUCAGAGCUCAGGGGAGCUUCCAGGGCACCCACAGCUCCCUGUACCCGCCCACUCGCAGCCCCCGACUCAAACACAGGGAGAUCCAUCCUGCAGCGGCCAUGGAGCCCACGCUGUCCUCCACCCUGUCCUCCACCCUGUCCCCCGGCUCGGAGGACUCGGGCCUGGAGGAGCCGGAGAGUGCAGUGGAGAGAGAGAUCCGCCGGACUCUGGAGAGGGAGGAAUGCCACCGGAGAGAGAGGGGGGGGGUCACACAGGGCCUCACCGUACCCAGAGCCUCCACCGGGCAGAGCGGACGAUCUCCCCCCAGACCUCCAGCGUGCCGCACCCCUACACUGUCCAUCUCCCCUUCUCCUUCCUCUUCUCUUCCCCGAUCUGUCUACCAUGAGAUGACGGCCAAUAAUGUCAUUAUCCUGGAGCCCGGCUGCUCCGGCUCCACCUCCAGAAACCUCUUACUCUCCUCCGCCACCGAUUGGCCGCUUAGCCAGGAUGCUGUGCCCUCCGCCAACGUCAUCGUCGUUGAGACCUCUAACGUGAUCAUUCGCAGCGCAUCCGAAUUCUGUCUAAGCUCCGCCCCCGUGUCCGCGGAGACCCAGGAGAGCACCUUCUCGUCCAAUCCGUUCUUUAAGCUACGCUCCAUCAGCAGCCAAUCGCUGGUGGAGCGGGAGAUCCGCAUGGUGAGGCAGAGGGAGGAGGAAUGGAGGAGGCAGCGGGAGGAGAUGUGGAGGAGGAGGAGGGAGGAGGAGUGGAGGAGAGGGAGAGAGAGGUACGACACCGUGCUGGUGUCUCCUGGCCUGAGCGAUAACAUCAGCUACAACGUGCCAGAGGUCCUAGAUAGAUGUGUGUCCUCUCCUUCGUCCCCCUCCAGGACCCGCAAAAUGGAAAGAUCCAGCAUGUCUUGUGACCACAAGUGGUUCAGCUGAAUCUUCCCCUCCCUCCAGUUCCCCUCAUCCCUCUCUCUGACGCCGAAGCGACCGAACGCCAUGGCGCAGCGAUGGGAGGCCUCCCUAUUAGCCAAUCAGAAGAAGGAGUGACCAUUUCAAAGCCCACAAUGAGAUCCGACGCCUCCGUUCCUUCCUGCUUCUCUCCAGAAAAGUCACACGGUGUACUGUAAGGUCUUUGAAAAGGUGUGGCUUGAACCCGUGGGUCACAGAUGUGCUGUCUGCGGGACGUCCUGUGAGAAGAGGACUGGUCCUGUCCAACAGCUUUGUUUCAAAGAGUAAGGUUUGGCUUUCCUUAAUGCUUGAACGUCUGAAAAGGUCCUGCUUUCAAACUCAAACUGGUCUGCUGCAUGAUCUGUGAAACAUUGGGGCACAAUGCCACACGUAGGACAUUGUUUAUUAUAGAUAAUAACUUCAUUGACUCAUUCACAAUACUAACCGCAGUCAUAGUACCACCACUGUUUUUGACAUGUCAUGCAGACUUCUAUGUAAACUUUAGAAACACAAUAUUUAUUAUUACCAGUAACACAAUUUGAUUUCGAGCUAUUUAUAAAUGAUGGCAAACAGAUAUGCAUUGAGUUGUAUGACUAUGAAAAAGGUCUUGGCAGUUGCAUUUUAAUUUUAGAUAAAGUAUGAAUUUAGUCCCUAUAUUUUUGAUGUGAUGAACAUAUACAGCGUAUAUUUUACCGUAUUGUAGCUGCGUAGGGGUUUGAGAAGUGACAUUCAAAAAUGAUUUAGCAUGUUCUUUACAAAUGACAAUUCAUAGCAUUUAAGUGCCAACUCAGACUGAAAAAAUCACUGCCUUAAGCCGCUGAGAACAGCACACACACACACACACACACACACACACACACAGAAAGACAAAAAAUGAAUCCAUCAUCCAUUUCGCACAUCAUCUCUUUUCCACAAAGGCAAAACACGUAUUCAAGUAUAAAAAAACUGUCCUAUUUUAUGGAAAAUCAUUUUUUAUGGAAAUGUAAGAAUGGAAACUGGCACAUUCUUUCCCCUUGUUAUGACCCGCCCUACUCCGCCUCUGAUUGGCUGCUCAUCGUGGCCUUUGGUUUGGUUGUGAGAUGAUGAAAAACGGUAGAGCCACAGGGACGGAGCCGGUGGCUCAAUUAGCUUACAGCUAACGGAGGUAUAGUUACUUUGUUACUUUAGCGGUAUUUCAAAAUUAUAUAAUUAACUCGAGUAUUCACAUGGCUUUAAAAAAAGCUGUCAAUUCCACAUUUGUAGCCCAAAGGUUUUAUGCGUGGAGCACACUGUUGUUAUUGCUAUAUAACUGUCCGUGGCUGUGAUGUUCAAGCAAUAUAACUGAAGCACUUCUAAAACAGAGAUUCUAAUCCAGUCUAGUGAAGACUUUUACAUAUUUUAUGUCAUGUUUUGAUUCCUAAAAAGAGAAUUGUUUUAUUGAAUUUGUGCUGCAUAUAUUUAUUGAAUCGGGACAAGCUUAUGAAUCCUUAAAGCUUUUAUUUCUAAAAGGUUCAUAAUAUAUUGUGUCAGAAUGGCUGCAUGAAUUGAAGGUCUGCGAUGUUUUUUAGAUGGAUCUUUUCUGUGGAGUGUGUGUGCGUGAUAAUAAUAAUAAUCCAUCCUCAAUACAUCGUACAUAAAUAGAAAUCCUUCCUCCUUAUUUUGUAGCUCCAGAAGGAGCUCACUGGGUUCCUGAUGAACUCAACUGUCUAUUACAGGUGCAUUCAAGUCAACUCAGAAAUAAGAGACUUCACCUGCCAGGUUGCGAAUAAUACCAGGCGAGUAGAAUGCUAGUGGGUUUUUAUGAAUAUAUUCUGAUUGUGCUCUGAGCAUCGAUGUGAUGUAACACUGUGUUAAGGAAUAAACUCUCCAUCCGCUAAUAAAGUGCAUUUCAGCUGUGAGUUCCUGUGCAGCCUGAAGAUGUGUCCAAACAUCUGACGGGGCUACGAUCUAUACUUUCUGCAAUCAAUUUGCAGAGGUUUGGAUGUUCUUGAAAUGUGCUGUAUUGCAUGUGAAAGAAGUCGGUUACAGUGCGUCCACUCUUCACACUGGCUGUUUCUGCCCCAUCUCACCACACCACACCCAGUGGCAAUGUGAGGAAACGGAAAAACUAUAUACUAUAAUAUUGUGUUGGCAGCAGAAGGACAUGAGCAUCAGUAAAUAUUGGCUUUGUGUGUUUUCUUGCACACUCGAGUCACGUCAGAUGGGGUUGGUACGUUGUUACAUUGUUACAUCGUUUCGCUAUUAUUUUCACACAAUCCUUGAACUUGUUAUUCAAGGCCCAUAUUUAACAUCAUUUUGACGUACCAUGCCAGCGUUGUUUGCAUGUCAUGGUGUUGCUGCGUUAGCUUUGCUGUAUGAAGGCACAGUAGAUAUAUAUAUAUAUAUAUAUAUAUAUAUAUAUAUAUACCUGGUCUGCAUCCAGUUUAGUGGGACAGCUGAACUGAUACUUUAUAACUGUAGUUUUAAGAAGGAUGUGCAUUUGUGAAUACACUGUGUGACAGAAUAUUCCGUACGGCUCCUAGAAACAGCUUUUCCUCACGAGCCGAGCAUCAUUUAUUCAGGUUCUGUUCUUUUCUUAGUUUAUUUGCCUUGCGCUUCAUUCAUUUAUUGUUGCCAAAUGAAAGGUCUUGUGAUGACAUCUUCAAUAAAACGUAACUUCUGAAACCCGCAAUGUGGUCACGGCCGG